UGGCUCAGGAUGAACGCUAGCGGCAGGCUUAAAACAUGCAAGUCGAACGGUAACAGGGAAAAGCUUGCUUUUCUGCUGAGCGAACGGGUGCGUAACACGUAUGCAACUUACCUUUAACAGGGGGAUAGCCCAGAGAAAUCUGGAUUAAUACCCCAUAACAUUAUCAUUUCGCAUGUUAUGAUAAUUAAAACUCCGGUGGUUAGAGAUAGGCAUGCGUCCCAUUAGUUAGUUGGUAAGGUAACGGCUUACCAAGGCAGCGAUGGGUAGGGGGUCUGAGAGGAUGAUCCCCCACACUGGUACUGAGACACGGACCAGACUCCUACGGGAGGCAGCAGUGAGGAAUAUUGGGCAAUGGACGCAAGUCUGACCCAGCCAUGCCGCGUGCAGGAAGAAUGCCCUAUGGGUUGUAAACUGCUUUUAUAUACCAAGAAACGCAGAUACGUGUACCUGUCUGACGGUAGUAUAUGAAUAAGCACCGGCUAACUCCGUGCCAGCAGCCGCGGUAAUACGGAGGGUGCAAGCGUUAUCCGGAUUUAUUGGGUUUAAAGGGUUCGUAGGCGGGACUUUAAGUCAGUGGUGAAAUCCUGCAGCUUUACUGUAGAACUGCCAUUGAUACUGCUAAUCUUGAGUGUAGUUGAGGUGGGCGGAAUGUGUAAUGUAGCGGUGAAAUGCAUAGAUAUUACACAGAACACCGAUUGCGAAGGCAGCUCACUAAACUAUUACUGACGCUAAGGCACGAAAGCGUGGGGAGCGAACAGGAUUAGAUACCCUGGUAGUCCACGCCGUAAACGUUGAUUACUCGCUGCUGGCAAUACAUCGUCAGUGGCUGAGCGAAAGCAUUAAGUAAUCCGCCUGGGAAGUACGUUCGCAAGGAUGAAACUCAAAGGAAUUGACGGGGGCCCGCACAAGCGGAGGAACAUGUGGUUUAAUUCGAUGAUACGCGAGGAACCUUACCUGGGCUUAAAUGUAGAGUGCAUGACUUGGAAACAGGUCUUUCCUUCGGGUCUUUACAAGGUGCUGCAUGGUUGUCGUCAGCUCGUGCCGUGAGGUGUCGGGUUAAGUCCCAUAACGAGCGCAACCCCUACUGUUAGUUGCCAUCGGGUCAUGCCGGGGACUCUAACGGGACUGCCGGUGUAAACCGCGAGGAAGGUGGGGAUGACGUCAAAUCAGCACGGCCCUUAUGUCCAGGGCUACACACGUGUUACAAUGGCCGAUACAAUGAGCAGCUACCAGGCAACUGGAUGCUAAUAUCCAAAGUCGGUCUCAGUUCGGAUCGGAGUCUGCAACUCGACUCCGUGAAGUUGGAUUCGCUAGUAAUCGGAUAUCAGCCACGGCGCGGUGAAUCGUUCCCGGGCAUUGUACACACCGCCCGUCAAGCCAUGGAAGCUUGGGGUAC
Molecule: ribosomal RNA, 1396 nt
Filed under: uncultured prokaryote
Description: partial 16S ribosomal RNA
Rfam family: Bacterial small subunit ribosomal RNA
Source: RNAcentral